This 308-nucleotide RNase P RNA is filed under the name pig gut metagenome. RNAcentral's name for it is "Bacterial RNase P class A". It matches the Rfam family "Bacterial RNase P class A", at positions 36 to 352 of the family's 367-position model. From Rfam's summary of the family: Ribonuclease P (RNase P) is a ubiquitous endoribonuclease, found in archaea, bacteria and eukarya as well as chloroplasts and mitochondria. The record is from RNAcentral.
GAUUCCAGAGGAAAGUCCGGGCAGCACAGGAUACGGUAGUUUCUAACGGAAACCGUUCGCGAGAAUAGGGAAAGUACCACAGAGACAAUACCGCUAGGGCGUUUAUGGCGUUCGAGUAAGGGUGAAAAGAGUAAGGUAAGAGCUUACAGUGUGUCAUGGUGACAUGAGACAGGGGCAAACCCUACCGGCUGCAAGGAGUGCUAGAUACCUUGAUCCGAGGAUGCACGUUUACCGCUAGAGCGUUGGAGCAAUUCAAGGCCUAGAUAGAUGGUUGUCGGCUUGCAAGAGCUACAGAACCCGGCUUAUUU